UUGUAGAUCCUCUUAUUAGAUGUUGUUAUGAGCUGAAUAUUGUGUAACUAGUAAUCAGUUUGGUCCUUUUGGUCCUGUAUGUAGGAGCCGCCGUCUGAAUAUUCUCAACCGAGGGUAAGCCCAUACCGUCUUGCAGCUCACCUGACCUCAGCUUUUGCCAUUUAUUGUGGACUUUUCUGGACCGCUCUCUCUGUUGUUAUGCCUGAACCACCAGCUGAGUCACUGGCUUGGGUUCGGGGAGCAGCUAAAGUGAAGAAGCUUGCAUUACCAGUAAGCUUAAUUGUUGGUAUCACUGCAAUUUCAGGAGCAUUUGUUGCUGGAAAUGAUGCUGUAAGUAAACUAACAAACUUGGAUCUGAGCUUCUAUGAUAUUAGUUACAGAAAGGAAGCUGAGUAUUUUGAUCUCUCCGCUUGUGAAUUGUAGGGUCGUGCAUUCAACACAUUCCCAAAAAUGGGUGACACAUGGAUCCCUGAUAAUAUAUUUGAGAUGAAACCACUUUUACGCAAUUUUUUCGAGAACACAGCAACUGUUCAGGUACACCAUUGACACAAAGCUUUCUCAAUUUGCGUCAAGAGUCUCAAAAAGACUGAAACUUUACUUAAAUUUCAGCUUGAUCAUCGCCUUCUUGCAACCACAACGCUAAUAGCAAUUGGAACAAUGUGGUGGUUCACUAGGAAGCUAGACAUACAUCCAGCCGUUAAAGCUUUGAUCGGAAGUACUGUUGGAAUGACUGCUGUUCAGGUAAACAAUCAACAUAAACUUUCAAGGAAACUUGAAAUCAAAACCAUUGAUGGAGUUUUUCGUAUUUUGCAGGUGACAUUAGGUGUAUCAACGCUUCUGAGCUAUGUUCCGGUUUCACUAGGAAGUGCACACCAAGCAGGAGCUUUAACACUUCUCACUUUGAUGCUACUUCUCAAUCACACUCUUCGGAGGCCAUCGCCUUCUCUUCUCAAAUCCCUUCCACAAGUUGCUAAAUCAAAUUUCAGCUAAGCAGCCCUCUUCACCAAAAUCUUUCCUUUUUCAUUAUUUACUAAAAAACGAUUCUUUGGCUAACUAUUAUACUAGAUCGAAUCAUGUGUCAAUGAUGUUGUAUUAUCAGUCACGAUUCGAAAAAUAAAUACGAAAACAAUUAACAUAUGAAUCCCAGAAUUUGAGUGUUUGUUGGUGUUUAUGUUUCAUUGAUAGCUUCCUUGUUGUUUCAUUAGUAUCAUUACCAAUAAAAGAUAAUUGGAUCAUUCAAGUUUGAGUCAAAAUUUUCUUAUACCAAUUUGGUUCAAUGCUAAAUUUUGGUUCGGUUUUGGUUUAGAUACGAUUCGGUUAUUUCAGUCCGGUUCAAAUCCGUAAGUGUUGUGGAUAAUGUUAAGAGAGUUUUUGGCGUUUUGGGUAUAGGACUAUACACGUGUCGUAAAACGGUGGCUUAUCGGCUUCCACGUGUCAGUAGCGCACCAUCUUCCUUUCUAUAUAGCCAAUGCUACAAAAUUCUCUGUUAACUUCACACUACUAGUAUGGAGAAUCAUGGAGGAAGAAGAAGAGACAUAGCCAUAACCGAUGGAGAAAGGAGGACUGGUUCUUCGGUUGUGGCUGCAACCGUAGCAGCUGUAGCAGUGGUCGGGCCGCUUUUUGGUCUGAUGAGUUUCAGCUUUGUGGCGACGGUGACUCUGUUUCUGAUCGCUUCUCCAUUGCUGCUGACAUUUGCUCCAGUUUUUAUGGUGAUGGUAGCGGUUCUUGUGGCGGCUAUGGUUGGUGUUGGGGUAGCUGCAGCCAUGUGGAUGAUGGGAAUAGCUGCUUUGGUAUGUUGUGGCCGAGAGAUUGGUAUUGAAACCGGAGUGGCUGGGAGGAUGGUUGAGUCGGUUGUGAGAGAAUUAGGUUAUGGUCGGAGUCGUUACUUACGAAACAAAUCAGAGUAUGGCUAUUCUUCUUCUUCUCGAGCUUACUAGUUCAAACUUGGAAAAAUUCAUGGGAAUUUCAAGGAGAUGGUGAAUAAAGAAAACACAGAGAUAUGGUUAUGAUAAGAAAACAAAAAUUUAAGCAGAAGUUUUUCGAGAGAUAAACCUGUAAUGUCUAUCCAAAGAAAUCUACUUAUGCUAUAUCAAUUUUUUUGUCGUGUUUUUUUUUUCCUAAGUCAAUACAAACAGAUUUAAAAAAAAAGAAAAGAUUGUAAGUUUCUUUUUGGUCAAAAAGAUUGUUAACUUUAAAUGAUAUAAUAAUUUUAAAAGGUUGAAUUAAUUACAGCUUUUGGGGGAUGGAUUAUCCAAAGUACUACAAAUUUUCAUGUCUAUCUGAAAUGUUCGAAUUAUCCAAAUCCACAUUAUCCGGAUUAUUCAAAGUUCAAAUACAAAAGAGGAAAAAAAAAAUGUAUUAUCCAUAUUCCUCGGGGGAUUUAUCGAAAACAUAACUUUCCAAUAUUUAAAAAGAUUAAAAUAUAUAUGAAUUAGAAAUCUAAAAAUAUUUAUCUGUAUGUUGAAUUUUUAUAUUAAAAAGUGUACUACUGUAUCUAAUUCCAUAAAUAUUACUGUAUAUUUUAUUUUUGAUAUCAGGUUUUUACUUUUUGAUCAAUAUUCAUGUUUGUAUCGGUGGAUUACCACUACAAGUUUAAAACAAAAUUAAAGAUGACAGUAAGUAGGUAUCUAAAGGUACAUAAGUGACUUAGAACAAAAGGUACAUAAGUGACUUAGAACAAAAGGUACAUAAGUGACUUAGAACAAAAGGUACAAGUUCGUACGCGAAAAAAAAAGACAAAAGACAAAAGAAAAAGGUACUUCUACAAGAUUCUCUGUGCUUUCACGAAUGCUAUCACUAAUGCACACGAACAGUCUCGCGAUAUUCUCCUACUUAACGAAGACAUUCCCUUACAAAAAUGAAAAAAGAAUUGUCAUAACUUUUUUAAAACUGUUCCUGCAGAACUUCAAUAUGAUUCACAAUUAUAUAAAAAAGAGUUCAAUUUAAAUUCAUGAUUCAAACCCUAGUUGUUAUACAAAUCAUUCUACCCAUCAUAACCAAAAUGUUAAAAAUUUAUAGUUUGCAUAGAGAAUAUCAGAAGAAUUAUAUAAUUAAUCUAAAGUGUAAAUAUAUCAAGAAUAUUAUUUUAUGGGUGAAUAUUCUGAUAAUGAAAUGAAUGUAUAAGGAGUUGACCAGGCGUUGAGUGGGUGACCUACCGGCCAAAGGGAAUCACACGCUCUGUAGCGUUGAAUUCUUUAAAGAGUUUAAUCAAUUCAUGCACAUUUGAUGCUAAUUUUUACUAUGUUUUCAUUUUUGUUAAAUCAAUUUUAUUAUAUAUAUGCAUUCAUUUCCUUUCUUCUUUUGCAAUUUAAAAGGCUUGAUUACAAGAAAGUAAAGAAAUCAAAGUUUGGCAGUUCUAAUUCUUUUGGGCAAUCUUUGAUUUAUAAGCCUUUUUCAUUUCUUAACCAAAUUUUCUUUUUUCAUUUGUUGGUAAAUUAACUAAAGAGUAAUCAAAUCGAUCGAGAGAUAAAAACUAGAAAGAAGAAAUGGGUCGGAUUCCAUGUUGUGAAAAGGAGAAUGUGAAGAGAGGACAAUGGACUCCUGAAGAAGACAACAAAUUGGCUUCUUAUAUUGCUCAACAUGGUACUCGUAAUUGGCGUCUCAUCCCUAAGAACGCUGGUAAUUUUCGUGUCUUUUAAAUUUUUCUUUUAUCAAGUAAUAAUGUUCUUGUAUGUGAUCAUUGUAAUCUAAUAUAAUGGAUCGGCAUUCUAAUAGGGUUGCAAAGAUGCGGGAAGAGUUGUAGGCUGCGAUGGACGAACUAUUUGCGUCCGGAUUUGAAACACGGCCAGUUCUCGGAGACUGAGGAACAUAUCAUUGUCAAGUUUCACUCUGUUCUUGGUAACCGGUAUGCAUGAUCACUAGAUCUAAUUAACUACUGUUUUACGGUUUUCUUGAAUUUUAUUAUUCUAGGUAUAUAUACAAUUACACACGGACUCAUAAAUAGCGGGUUUGUUUCAUAAGGUUUUGAAAUCUUGAUGCUGGCUUACUGAUGAAUACCUUUUCUGAGUUUGUGGACAAGUUUCUUGGGAAGCAAGAAACUGAAUAAGACAUAAGUUUUGUUUUCUGUACCAAAUCUAAGUAUAGGGUUUUAAACUUCUGACAAGUUUAAUAUUUCUUAAAAUAAAUUUGUUUUGCUAUAUACAAUCACCAAUUAGACUCACAAAACAGAAUUUGAAAAUUUGAUGAUGAAUAGUUUGGGACUUUUUCAUGAGAAACAACAGUUAACAUCUUUCUUGGGAAACAAUAAAACGAAUAAGGUAUACAUAAAACCUUUCUACUAAUAUUUUGACAUAUAUGGUUCAGGUGGUCGUUGAUUGCGGCGCAACUUCCUGGUCGAACGGACAACGAUGUGAAAAACUAUUGGAACACGAAGCUGAAGAAGAAGUUGUCGGGAAUGGGAAUAGAUCCAGUGACCCACAAGCCUUCCUCGCAUCGAAUGUGGGGAAGAGGAUUGGGAAUCAUGUUUGCUUUGCCGUUUUCUUAUUUUCUGCGGAAAGGGUAUAUUACUCUACGUCUUGGAGUUCAGCUCUCUGGUUUAUUUGCGCUUGGUGCUGGACAAGGUCUCAUUGGUUGGUGGAUGGUUAAAAGUGGUUUAGAGGUAAAGAUUAGGAACUGUUGUAGAUCCUCUUAUUAGAUGUUAUUAUGUGCUGUUUAACCAGUAAGUUUGGUCCUGUAUGUAGGAGCCGCCGUCUGAAUAUUCUCAACCGAGGGUAAGCCCAUACCGUCUUGCAGCUCACCUGACCUCAGCUUUUGCCAUUUAUUGUGGACUUUUCUGGACCGCUCUCUCUGUUGUUAUGCCUGAACCACCAGCUGAG
This 4814-nucleotide long non-coding RNA is filed under the name Arabidopsis lyrata. RNAcentral describes it as "long non-coding RNA (ALYR_LNC000647)". The record is from RNAcentral. Lineage: Eukaryota; Viridiplantae; Streptophyta; Magnoliopsida; Brassicales; Brassicaceae.